CUCUGUGACUCCUACGGGAGGCAGCAGUGGGGAAUAUUGCACAAUGGGCGCAAGCCUGAUGCAGCCAUGCCGCGUGUGUGAAGAAGGCCUUCGGGUUGUAAAGCACUUUCAGUUGUGAGGAAGGUGGUGUCGUUAAUAGCGGCAUCAUUUGACGUUAGCAACAGAAGAAGCACCGGCUAACUCCGUGCCAGCAGCCGCGGUAAUACGGAGGGUGCGAGCGUUAAUCGGAAUUACUGGGCGUAAAGCGCAUGCAGGUGGUUUGUUAAGUCAGAUGUGAAAGCCCCGGGGCUCAACCUCGGAACUGCAUUUGAAACUGGCAGACUAGAGUACUGUAGAGGGGGUAGAAUUUCAGGUGUAGCGGUGAAAUGCGUAGAGAUCUGAAGGAAUACCGGUGGCGAAGGCGGCCCCCUGGACAGAUACUGACACUCAGAUGCGAAAGCGUGGGGAGCAAACAGGAUUAGAUACCCUGUAG
This 472-nucleotide ribosomal RNA is filed under the name uncultured bacterium. RNAcentral's name for it is "bacterial SSU rRNA". It matches the Rfam family "Bacterial small subunit ribosomal RNA", at positions 328 to 793 of the family's 1533-position model. The record is from RNAcentral.